AUUUAUUGUAUCUGGAACAGAACUAUAUAAAUUGAUCCUAACAUCUAAUAUUUCCAUGAAAGAGUUAUUUAUAUUUUGCCUAAUAUUAAAAAUAAUAAACCUUCAUAAUGAUAUAUGAUGAUUACAAAAUCAUUUCAGAACUUCAGGAGGAUAUAUGGUUAAGUCAGGCCGCCUCAAAAUCACACAGUGAACAUAACUUAGAAACUUUAGGCAACCAUAUAAGUAAUCUUACACUUUGUGAUUUCUAGCGUAAAUUGUGAAGAAAUCAUAAUUAAAUUUGACCUUUCAUGCUGGAAAAACUUUAAAGCACACAUGAUAAAAGAAAGAUUUUCAUUCAUUUCCUUAGACAUACAACUAAGAAAAUUUGGGGGCCAGGCGCAGUGGCUCACACCUGUAAUCCCAGAACUUUAGGAGGCUGAGGCUGGUGGAUCAUGAGGUCAGGAGAUCGAGACCAUCUUGGCUAACACGGUGAAACCCCGUCUCUACUAAAAAUACAAAAAAAUAGCUGGGUGUGGUUGUGGGCGCUUGUAGUUCCAGCUACUCAGGAGGCUGAGGCAGGAGAAUGGCAUGAAUCCGGGAGGCGGAGGUGGCAGUGAGCCGAGACUGUGCCACUGCACUCCAGCCUGGGCGACAGAGUGAGACUGCAUCUCAAAAAAAAAAAAAAAAAAAAAUUGGAAUCAGAGAGAAGGAAAGGGACCUGUUGUAGUCAUUUGGACUUUAGAUAGGGGCCGAGGUUCCCAAGUGAUUUCCUGGUUGCAGAACAGGGCUACAUACACACCUGUGGGAUGGUGGUAUCAGUUACAGAACUAAAGCAUCCUCAUGCAGCUUCAGGAAGAACAUAAACUUCAAGAGCAACUUGUUGGAAACACACGAUGACCCAAAAUGACAAAAUGACAGAGAUGGGAACAGAAAGAUCCCAAUUCAAAGGUAAAAAUAAAGGAGGGGCUGACUCCAGCCCUUUUUCCACCAAUAUCAGAAAUGCUUUUCAUAUCAACAUGAAGUUAGAGAGGAUGUAGACAUUUUACAUUAUCUAACAUCAGUUUUAAAAGAAAACACUGGGAAAUGUUCUCCAAGACUAAGUGUGAUGCAAUAAUAACAAGUAUAACAACUUCUUGCAUUUAGGUAACAUGAUUAGAAUUGGAAUUCCAUUUUGUCAUCUCACUUCCCGGUGGAUAGGAGGGGCAUGCUGCUUGCCACCAUCUUACAGGGAAAGAAGCUGAGAAACCUAGUGGUUAAGAGACUCGUCUUGUGUUGCCCAAUGAAUGAACCAAGCAGCACCUUUUCAUUUAACCAUUAAUGUGGUUGUUUGGAAAUAGCUCUUGCUCCUAGGAAAGAUUGGAGGCAGAGCAGGAAAACUCACUUUUGUAAGACGAGUUCUCAGCUGGAGUUGGGACAGUCUCAUUCUCUCUGUGUCCGGAACCGAACUCAUCAACUUCCUGCCAGAGUUCACAAUCUAUCUAGCUGCUCAACUUCGACCUCUCCUUCUCUCUCACUUCUAAUCUAGCACCAACUCCUGGCAAGUCUACUCUCUAAAUGUCUCCCAAUACUUCUCCCCACCCCACUGCCAUCGUCAUCGCUAGAGACCCAUGAUCUCUUGCCUGGAUUACAGGCAUCCCAGCCUUCAGACUCGCCCUCUCCAAUCUACUUUGUAGUCUGUUGUGACAGUAAUUCUUCUAAAGCGACAUCAGAUAAAGACUGUACUUACUUUUCUAUGUCUCCCUCAAUGAAAGUUUGACCUCAGCAUAAUGCCCACUUUGUGAAAUGGCUUAUAAAGGAGCCCUAGUUUAUCUAUCUGUUUUCCUCUUCCAUCCCUUGCUCCCUUACUCACUAUGUCCCAGUCACACCACAGUUUGUCUGUUCCACCUGCCCUUUCAUCCUUCAGAACUAUGUCCAUGCUGUUGCUGCUGCCACUAACACCCUUCCUUUCCCCAGCCCUUAUACUAGUCAAUUCCUAUUCACACAUCAAAGCUCAUCUUAGCUGUCAUUUUCUCCAGAAACCCUUGUAAUACUGUAUUUGCUCUAACUUGCCUGUAUUCCCAAACUGACUGUAUAUAUUAUAAAGGGAGGGUAUGUGUCUGACUCAUGUACCACUGAAUCCCCAGUGGCUUGCAGUGCCCAGUAAAUAUUUCUCUUUAUUUAGUUUUUAAACUUGUAUUGGAAUAUAGAAUAGCUACAAAACAUGCCCAAAUCAUAAGAAAAUAAGUCAAUCCAUUCUUACAAAUUGAAUACACUCUGUAUCUAGGACCCAUAUUAGGAAACAGAACAUUGCUUAUACCCCAGAAAUCCCCUCAUGUGUCCCUUCCAGGCAAUACACCACCAUGGAUAAUCACAAUCCUGAUUUAUAACAGCAUACAUUAAUUGUAUUUCCUUUUACUUUACAAAAAUCAUAUAGUACAAUUUGCUUUUGUGUCUGAAUUAUUUUGUUCAACAUUAGGUCAGCAAGAUUCAUUCAUAUUGUUGCAUGUGGUCAUGCAUUUUCCUUGCAGAAGUGCCCAAUAAUUAUUUAUUAAGUGAAGAUAAUGAAUGAAACAACAAUCACUAAAAUCCAAAAGAGGAGAAAAGUCUCCACUUGUCACAAAAUGAAGGAAAUGGGUCAACUCCAAUCUUCAACCUGAAUCCCCCAAAGUAACAAGAGAUAUAAGAAAUGGUAUGGUAAUAUGUGUCCCAGGACCCUUUCCAAUGUUAUAAUAGUAAACUGAAACAUCAGCAGCAAUAGGAUCACUCAUUUUCUCUUGUUUUAUCUUUAAGGUGUGUCACUUCUAUAAUCAGAAUCACAGAGCCAGGUGCAAAGGGCAUCAUUUGAAUUAUAGGAUGGUGACUAGAACACACCUUCCUGGAUGUUACAAGCAAGGAAUACGGACGUUAAAUUCUGACUUACUUCCUGUUUUUGUGCUUUACACUAUCCCUUUUAAUAUGCCAAAUGGUCUAUGAAUCCCAUCUGUCAGGAAUUAAAGAUGUACAAUGCAAGUAAAGGAAGUAGCAAAUUAGAAAGUGAUAGAACAGGGGCAGAAUACAGGGACAGAGGGAGGAUGCAUUGAGAACAUCAGGCAGGGAUCCUUGAAGGAUUGUCUUGGUCUUCAACUCUGGCUUCAAAUGAAAAUCACUUAGAGGAAAUGCUGAUGGCUGUGCUCCAUCCCAGACCAAUUGUUUCAGGAUCACUAGGCAUCAGUAUUUUUUCAAGCCUCCCCAGGUGGUUUGUACAUGCAACCAGCUUUGAGAACUGCUAGUUUAAAGCAAAGACCAGAGGGAGACAAUAAACAGACACACCUGUAGUUGUUCCCAAACUUUAUUAUAGGGAAAAGUCACCUGGAGAACUUGUUUAAAUUGUGGAUUCUCCCAAAACCACCCCACCCUAGCCCCAGAAGAUCAGAUUCAGUUGAUCUGGAUGAGCCUAGGGCUCUACAUUUGCCACAAUCUCCGCAGUGAUCCUGAGGGAGGAGAAACCCCAGGGAAAAUAUGGCUAAUGAGGAUGAAAAAACAGACAAGAGGUGGAACUUCAAUGAAGAGGAAAACUCUUCCUAGCCUUGGUCGAGAGCGAGCACACUAAAACUCUGCCCUGAAAGAGGUGCAUGACAUCUAGUUUGAAUAGAAGACUCCUGAAUUAUAACUCUUUUUCUUUCUGUAAUUCAUAGAUAUUAUUCCAGUCUUCUGCAUUCUAGUGUUGCAGAUGCUCUUUAUUUAGAUGAGGAAGCUACCUUCUGUUUGCUGAAUGUAUUAUUAUAAAUCUCCAAGUGUUUCUUGAACUCAUGGGGGAAACCCCCUCACUAGUAGUCUCUGCUGGUGCUUCUACAGAACUGAAGACUUCACGGAACCUGGGAGCCUACAGACCUCAGUAAAGGCCUAACUAAGAAGAUAUAGCUGAAUAAAAAUUGGACAACAAAGAAAGAUGUCAAUGUUUCUAUUGCCAUCAGGCAAUAUUAAUUUUAACUUUUAAGAUGUUUAUUUUGGGCCUUCCCCCACGUGUCACUCCCUUAGUACUGUUUUCUAGGAGAUAAAAGCUACAUUCAUAAAAUAAUCCAUGUUGUUGGUUAAUAAUUUAUUCUUUCAAUGAAAGUUGUUUGCAUUUCAAUCACAACCUUUUAUAAACACUAACUUAAUCUAAAGGCAUGUAUCUGUUUGUAGGACUUUUAAAUAUGACAAGCUAGGGAGGAAGACAUUUUCUUUGUGAAUCCCAUUAUAAUCAUCCUAGAAAUGGAAUUGCUGUAGCAUAGGAUGUGAACACAUUCAGCUUUCUUAGAUAUUACUAGGAAUUUUACCAAUAGCAGUGCAUAAAACUGUUGUUACUCCUCACCCUCUGCAACGCUUGAAGGUAUAAGAUAUUUAAAGUUAUAGAAGUCUGAUAUGUGUAAAAUAUUAAAUUAUUGUGACUUUAAUUUUUAUUAUUUAUUAUUUGCCAUUUGGAUAACUUCUUCUGUGAAUUUACUGUUCAUAUUACUUGUUUGACGCUAGAUUUUUUUUUUUUUUUUUGAGAG
This 4472-nucleotide long non-coding RNA is filed under the name Homo sapiens (human). RNAcentral describes it as "HSALNT0322847". Lineage: Eukaryota; Metazoa; Chordata; Mammalia; Primates; Hominidae. The record is from RNAcentral.